RNAcentral lists this ribosomal RNA (326 nucleotides) under uncultured fungus. RNAcentral describes it as "bacterial SSU rRNA". It matches the Rfam family "Eukaryotic small subunit ribosomal RNA", at positions 1344 to 1680 of the family's 1831-position model. Lineage: Eukaryota; Fungi. The record is from RNAcentral.
UAACCUGCUAAAUAGACCGCUUAAGCGUGAGAAUGCUUGAGGAGGUGUUCUUAGAGGGACUGUCUGUGACUAACAGAUGGAAGUUUGAGGCAAUAACAGGUCUGUGAUGCCCUUAGAUGUUCUGGGCCGCACGCGCGCUACACUGAUAAAGGCAGCGAGUUGCUUCGGCAGGCCUUGACCGGAAGGACAGGGGAAACUUGUGAAACUUUAUCGUGAUGGGGAUUGACCAUUGCAAUUAUUGGUCAUGAACGAGGAAUUCCUAGUAAGUGCGAGUCAUCAGCUCGCGUUGAUUACGUCCCUGCCCUUUGUACACACCGCCCGUCGAU